UUAGCGAGAGCUCGCUAGCAGAGGGAAGUGACAACUCUUUGACUAAAAGCUUCGCUAGCCUGACUAAAGUAAUGAGGUAGAUAGCCAAACACUUAACCAACCAAACCUUGUAUGGAACAGCCCGGCGUCGCCACAGUGAAAAUGGACCAGGAGUUUGAAGACAUAGACUCAGAGGGCCGGUGGCAAAAACUGUACUCAGAAAUCAGAAGUCAGUCCCAUGAGUGCUCCUACAAAGUGGCAAAGUAUCCAGAGAAUCGCAACCGGAACAGAUACAGAGAUGUCAGUCCAUUCGAUCACAGCCGGGUGAAGCUCGAAAACACAGAAAAUGACUACAUCAAUGCAAGUCUGGUGGUGAUGGAGGAAGCCCAGAGAAGUUACAUACUGACUCAGGGCCCCCUCAGGAACACCUGUGGUCACUUUUGGCUCAUGAUUUGGGAGCAGAGGACCAAGGCAGUCAUCAUGCUCAACAGAGUCAUAGAGAAAGGCUCGGAAAAGUGUGCGCAGUACUGGCCCACGGCUGAGGAGAGAGAGAUGGCUUUAAGAGACACACGCUUCCUGGUCACACUGUUGUCAGAAGACACCAAGUCUUACUACACCACCAGAGUGUUGGAGCUGCAGAAUAUUAAUACAGGGGAGAAGAGAGAGAUCUACCACUUUCAUUACACCACGUGGCCUGAUUUUGGUGUCCCCGAGUCCCCGGCGUCUUUUCUAAACUUCCUCUUCAAGGUGCGGGAGUCGGGAUCGUUGGGGGUGGAGCACGGACCCGCCGUGGUGCACUGCAGUGCUGGGAUCGGACGCUCAGGGACGUUUUCAUUAGUUGACACAUCCCUGGUCCUGAUGGACAAGAGGAAAGACCCCUCAUCAGUGGACAUAAAGAGCAUCCUGUUGAACAUGAGGAAGUACCGCAUGGGUCUGAUCCAGACUCCUGACCAGCUUCGCUUCUCCUACAUGGCGGUCCUUGAAGGAGCCAAGUUCAUCAUGGGAGACUCGUCUGUACAGAACCGAUGGCGGGAAUUAUCCAGGGAAGACCAGGAGCCGUCAUCAGAGUCUCCCCCCUCCGCUCAGCCUCAGCCCAGGUGUCCGACGGAGCGAUACAACGGCAGCCAACGAGCAGGUCAGCUGGAGGAGGGAGAAGACUACAGGCAGGACGCCAAAGUACCUGCACAGUCUCCCUGCAAGGAACCGGAGCUGGACGGCAGCACGACACAGUCAGUACACAAAAGACGCAGAGAAGACAGUAUCUCCAAAUCGGGGACCGCCAAGACACCCCAAAGCAAGUCCAGGACGAAUGACUCAGAGAAGAAGCGAAAAAGUUUGGGCUGCAUUUGCUGCACAUGACAAGAGGUGGCCUGUCCGGUGGGGGGCAGUGUAUCUUUACCCCCCUCUGAGACAGCGACAACAACAACGAGGAGCACAUUUAGAGGAGGAAGUUUACUCACAGCUUUUUAAAAGAGCGGCCUCUCUUGUUCAUAGAGGGCGAAAACCAGCGACUGCUAACCGCCUCCACCCGCGGCCACCCGACUACAGCUCUGGCAGCGAAGCCAACAUCGGCAGGGAACUCCAGCUCUCUCCCAAACUCUGUGUUCUUCUUCCUCAACUCCAAACCACUCUUCCUCACCUCAACAGCUAGCUCUCCUGUCGUCACUGUUUUUUGGGUUUUGUCUUUUUUUUUUUUCUCCCCUCAGCCAAGUAGCAUUAUUCAGCCACGGCUCACCUCCCCAUCCCGUCUCCUCCUCCUCCUCCUCCUCACAGCUUUACAUUUUCUCCUCUUCGUCUCUAAACUGUUUACAGUAAACACUUUGACAUUCUUUGAAGACAAACACACCAGCGCUUUCCUCCCCCAGGCCACACCUCAACCACUGACGGCGCUGCUUCCGGAGUCACAAUCAAAUUUGUUUAGUUUUUUUUUUUUUUAGUGCUAUUAUUUGCAGCUUUCUCAUUCUCCUCUGCUUCUUUGCAUUUAUAAAUUUAGGACUGAAAAUAGGGGCUAUGCAUUGCCAAUUUGUAAUGCUGUUCAUAUGUGUAUUUUUGGAAAACAUUUUUUUUCAGAGGCAACAAUAAAAAUGUUCUAUUUUUUAUAAGAAAUUACUUGAAGUUUUUCAGGUGAUGUGGGGCUGGUUAAAUGAAAAGCACUGCCUCCUCCCACAUAACAAAUUCAGUGGCAUGUAAUGUUUCCAUGAUGUACAUAGUGUUCUUUUUAAAAAGAUGUGUAUAAAAAGACAUAUUUUUGCUUGUAAAAAAAACUCCUUUAAAAAAAACAAUUCAAAAAGACAAAGGCUAAUGUUACAGAUCUGAGAACAGUGGAAAGCGGAUUUGAUGACUUGUUCUUCUUUUGAACUGAAUUUGUCUUAAGUUUCUUUCUUUAGAGUGUAAUCUACAAAUAAAACUGGUAUUAUCUAGUUUCCAUACAAA
Stegastes partitus (bicolor damselfish) is the source of this 2412-nucleotide RNA transcript. It is a transcript of the gene named protein tyrosine phosphatase non-receptor type 2b, with no coding region annotated. The record is from RefSeq and is a predicted model, not a curated record. Lineage: Eukaryota; Metazoa; Chordata; Actinopteri; Pomacentridae. The transcript has 11 exons.